CCUACGGGUGGCAGCAGUGGGGAAUAUUGGGCAAUGGACGCAAGUCUGACCCAGCAACGCCGCGUGAAGGAAGAAGGCUCUCCGGUUGUUAACCUCUUUUAAGGGGGAAGAGAAGAAGAAGGUACCCCUUGCAUAAGCCACGGCUAACCACGUGCCAGCAGCCGGGGUAAUACGUAGGUGGCAGGCGUUGUCCGGGUUUACUGGGUGUAAAGGGCGUGCAGCCGGUGAGACAAGUCAGAUGUGAAAUCCACGGGCUCAACCCGUGAACUGCAUUUGAAACUGUUUCCCUUGAGUGACGGAGAGGUAAUCGGAAUUCCUGGUGUAGCGGUGAAAUGCGUAGAUAUAAGGAAGAACACCAGUGGCGAAGGCGGAUUACUGGACGUUAACUGACGGUGAGGCGCGAAAGCGUGGGGAGCGAACAGGAUUAGAUACCCGGGUAGUC
RNAcentral lists this ribosomal RNA (442 nucleotides) under uncultured bacterium. Its description in RNAcentral is "partial 16S ribosomal RNA". It matches the Rfam family "Bacterial small subunit ribosomal RNA", at positions 338 to 795 of the family's 1533-position model. The record is from RNAcentral.